GACAGAGGAUGCAAGCGUUAUCCGGAAUGAUUGGGCGUAAAGCGUCUGUAGGUGGCUUUUCAAGUCCGCUGUCAAAUCCCGGGGCUCAACCUUGGAUAGGCGGUGGAAACUACCAAGCUGGAGUACAGUAGGGGCAGAGGGAAUUUCUGGUGGAGCGGUGAAAUGCAUUGAGAUCAGAAAGAACACCAACGGCGAAAGCACUCUGCUGGGCCGACACUGACACUGAGAGACGAAAGCUAGGGGAGCAAAUGGG
RNAcentral lists this ribosomal RNA (253 nucleotides) under uncultured bacterium. Its description in RNAcentral is "partial 16S ribosomal RNA". It matches the Rfam family "Bacterial small subunit ribosomal RNA", at positions 524 to 776 of the family's 1533-position model. The record is from RNAcentral.